AUUGAACGCUGGCGGCAUGCUUUACACAUGCAAGUCGAACGGUAACAGGCCGCAAGGUGCUGACGAGUGGCGAACGGGUGAGUAAUGCAUCGGAACGUGCCCAGUCGUGGGGGAUAACUACUCGAAAGAGUAGCUAAUACCUCAUACGAUCUAUGGAUGAAAGCGGGGGACCGUAAGGCCUCGCGCGAUUGGAGCGGCCGAUGUCAGAUUAGGUAGUUGGUGGGGUAAAGGCUCACCAAGCCAACGAUCUGUAGCUGGUCUGAGAGGACGACCAGCCACACUGGAACUGAGACACGGCCCAGACUCCUACGGGAGGCAGCAGUGGGGAAUUUUGGACAAUGGGCGCAAGCCUGAUCCAGCAAUGCCGCGUGCAGGAAGAAGGCCUUCGGGUUGUAAACUGCUUUUGUACGGAACGAAACGGCUCUGGUUAAUACCCGGGGCUAAUGACGGUACCGUAAGAAUAAGCACCGGCUAACUACGUG
Molecule: ribosomal RNA, 482 nt
Filed under: uncultured bacterium
Lineage: Bacteria
Description: partial 16S ribosomal RNA
Rfam family: Bacterial small subunit ribosomal RNA
Source: RNAcentral